UUUGUUUUAUUAUAUUUAUUAUGUUAAAUUUCCAAUUUAAAGACUCUUUUUUAAAGAAAACAAAA
Molecule: transfer RNA, 65 nt
Filed under: Obrimoposthia wandeli
Lineage: Eukaryota; Metazoa; Platyhelminthes; Tricladida; Uteriporidae
Description: tRNA-Gly
Source: RNAcentral